ACUCUUUCGCGAUCGCUUUAAGGCUCUCUUUUCCGAUCGAGGGUACUUUGCAUCCUCGCUCUCCUCUACAUCUGUAGAACAGAAGCGGCGGUCGCCGCCUUUCUCUCUCUUAUCGGUAAGCCUUGAUCCCUCUCUCUCGCCAAAUGCCCUAACUUCACUUCGAGGUCGAGAUUUUAUCACUUGGUUCUCUCUUUUUCUCGUUUGUUGAUUACUAGGGUUUCGAACCUCUGUUUUCUACACCCCUUUUGAAUUUCGAGCAAGUUUGGAGCUUGUUAGAUUAAUUUUCAGGAAAUUUAAUUUAAUUUUUUAAAAAAACUUUCUUAUCGCUUAGCUCGUGUUACUUUUGGAUCUCAAUUACACUUGCCUUAGGGUUUCGAAUUUAAUUUUCGCGAGUUCGGGAAAGUUUGAAAUUUUUUUUGGCGGGGUUAGGGUUUCAUAGGCCAGAAUAAAGGGAAAUUCGUAUUGGAAUUAGGGUUUUGUGCUGUGAAGCUUUGGUUUCAGAUAUAUGGCCGCUGGGAGAUAUAGGGGUUGCCACGAUAAUGAAUCCAGGGAUCACGAGUCCGAUUCUGAAUUGUCAAGGGAAGAUUUUCCUUAUUCCAAGGAUAAAUUUGAUAGAAUUGAGAAUGGCAAUGGUGAAAACGACAGGGGUCGAGUUCGGGAAUUAAGGGAUAGAGCCAGGGUUAGGCAGAAGGAUAUUAGGGAGAGAGAAGUGACUAAUGGUGGGUAUAGUUCGUCUUCUGGUAGAAGUGAUUCAGGAAGCAGUGGUAGUGGUGGUGCCCAUGGUCCACGGAAGUGUGGGCUUUCAGCUAGGGCCACGGAUAGGGAGCCAGGUGAGUUGUCUAGUGAGAGUGGGUCCGAUGACGCAAUUGACUCCGAGUCACAUGCUCACAAAGAUAGUGAAGUUUUAAAAGUAGUGGAGAAUGGGACUCGGACACCUGUGGAGAAGAAGAGGAAGUUUUCUCCUAUAGUCUGGGAUAGAGAUGACAAACCAGUGAGUAACUCAUCAAAAAGUGGGAGCCCCCCUGCAGUGACUGCUCUCCCUCCACCGCCGCCCCUGCCUAAGGCGUACCGCCAGUCACCUAGUUUUAUUCCAGAAGGAGGUGUAGGGAUAUCUCCUGUUAAAAGUAGUAAAAACCAGAAUUUGCUGUCUUCUUCACCGCUGAAGGGAUCAGUUGGCAAUUCUGCAUCCGAGUCUCCUGUAGAGUUGGCUUCAUCGCCAAUGGAGGAGCAGUGGGGCAAUGACCAGGAAGCAGAGCACAUAGAAGACGAGGAUUAUGUUCCAAUGAGGAAUAUCUCAUCUUCACGAUGGGCAGCUGGCAACAAUUCUCCUGUUGAUGAAGGUGAAAUUGUGGAAGAUCAGGAAAUUCCUAAAAGGAGGAAGAAGAUGCCCCAUUCAGAGUUUUUGGAUUCCAGAGCACGCAACAAGUUAUCAACUCCAGAUCCCGGGGAUUUUAAGAGAGAAGGUUCUGAUGUGGCUAGAGGGAGGUCGUCAGAAUCUGAUGAGCGAGGCACCUGUGCUAGGCCUUUGAGCGGGGAUGAUUAUCAUGGGAAUGAUUCUGGGAGGGAUGACUACAUGGAUAUUGAUGAGGAACACAAUAACAGUGAUUCUGAUAUAGAUCCUAAGGAUGAAGAUGAUUCUUGCGAAACACCAGAACCUGCAGGUCCACCUCAAAGAAGUGUAAACAUGCUUCAGGGGUGUAGAAGUGUUGAUGAGUUUGAGAGACUAAAUAAAAUAGAUGAGGGCACUUAUGGUGUUGUAUAUAGAGCCAGAGACAAGAAGACUGGGGAAAUUGUAGCAUUGAAGAAGGUAAAGAUGGAGAAAGAACGUGAAGGUUUUCCACUGACUUCUCUUAGGGAAAUAAACAUUCUUCUUUCUUUUCAUCAUCCUUCAGUUGUUGAUGUUAAAGAAGUUGUGGUAGGGAGUAGCCUUGAUAGCAUUUUUAUGGUGAUGGAGUACAUGGAGCAUGACCUCAAAGGACUCAUGGAGUCAAUGAGACAGCCAUUUAGUCAGAGUGAAGUUAAAUGCUUAAUGCUCCAGUUGUUGGAGGGUGUGAAGUAUCUUCAUGAUAAUUGGGUUCUUCAUCGAGAUCUGAAAACGUCAAAUCUGCUCUUGAAUAAUCGUGGCGAGUUGAAGAUCUGUGACUUUGGGCUGGCUCGUCAAUAUGGAAGCCCGUUGAAAACAUACACCCAUUUGGUGGUUACUCUGUGGUACAGGGCACCAGAAUUACUUUUGGGAGGCAAGCAAUAUUCAACGACAAUUGACAUGUGGUCCCUGGGCUGCAUUAUGGCUGAACUGUUAUCGAAGGGACCUCUGUUUAAUGGAAAGACAGAAGUAGAUCAACUUGACAAGAUUUUCCGAAUCCUUGGUACACCAAAUGAGACAAUCUGGCCUGGGUUUUCCAAGCUACCUGGAGUGAAGGUCAACUUUGUCAAGCAUCAGUAUAACCUGCUGCGUAAGAAAUUUCCAGCAACGUCCUUCACUGGAUCACCGGUGCUUUCUGAUUCUGGGUUUGAUUUGUUGAACAAACUUCUUACCUAUGACCCUGAGAAGAGAAUUACUGCUGAAGCUGCUCUUAAACAUGACUGGUUUCGUGAAGUUCCUCUUCCAAAGUCUAAAGAUUUCAUGCCUACUUUUCCUGCUCAGCAUGCUCAAGACAGGCGUCUCCGAAGAAUAAGGAAGAGUCCAGAUCCUUUAGAAGAGCAGCGGAGAAAGGAGUUGCAACAAGGGGAGUUAGGGACCGGUGGUUUGUUUGGCUGAGAGAUUAAUUGGUCAACCUUGGCCCUGGAUUGCAAUUUUUUUGUUUUGCAAGCUACUGACACAAGAUGUGGUUGAGGUGAGAGAUAUCCAUUGAAAGGAAGUAGCGAACCUUGUUUCUCAGACGAUCAUUUGUACUUUUUUUUAGCAGGCCUCUUGUGAUUUGGAUGGAGAAAAUAUUUGCCUCCUGCCGUCAACCAGUUAUGUUUCAGGCUAACUUUGUUCUCCUGCUUUGUUAACAUAUAGGAUGCGCCUGGGACACUGCUUGCAUCGCAAGUUGGUGUGAAGUCCAGGAGAUGUUCUUAGCUUUUCAUUGACAAAGAAAUAGGCAAUAACAUAGAGCAUCAAAGUAUCAAAGCUAGCAGGUUGGGGAGGUUACCUGCUGUGGAUUUUAUAGAACUUUCAGUUAGAUGUCUUCAGGCUCCAUAGAGGUACAACACAAACUUUGUUUUGUUCUUAUGUGUCAGAUUUUCUUUUUUAAUCAUCUUAAUAUUCGCUACCUUUAGAUGUUGAUGUACCUCUAGGCAUUCUUAUGCAUGUGGUUCUGCACUAGUUCUGUUCCUAUGAUGGUAAUCUUCAGGAUUUGGUGCUUCUAAUCCUUGGGAGCAUGCUUUUCAAUUGGGUUGGAUUUUGUUCUUUGUUUGGGAGAAAAAGAAAGGGGUGGGGGGGUGGGUUCUUUUCUUUGUUUCAUAUAGUUCUAACUAUAUGGCUCUUAAGCAAGGUCCAGGGAUAGUGCAAUACUUUCGUUGGGUUCAAGUUUCAGUAGUAGUAGGAGACCAAAAUCCCUUAAAAUCUGCAACCCUGAGUGUUUGUUGUUUAUUCCACACUUCUAUAGUCUUGCCUGAAUGUUUGUGCUAUGCAUUUUCUACUGUCUUCAAGAUUUGCCAUUUGAUAUUUCAGGAUUAAGUAGAUGUUUUCCUUUUAGAGAUUAAUAGUUUAAUGAGGUAUGAAGCAUCAAAACAGAUGAUGCAAUGCCCUUUAAUAAAAAGAAGGGUGGUAACAAGAUUUGCAAGCUUGUUCAGAAGGUGGUAAAAAGUUUCUUUGCACUGAAAAUCUUAACUAAAACUUGGUGCUUCAUAAUUAAGAAGUCUGAGCUUGAUUGGGACUGCGCUGUUUUUUCUUCCAAGUAAUAAAGAAUGUUCAAGCUUCUCUUAGGUGGAUUGUUAAUAUUACAUUUAUGCAGAAUAAGGAUUUUAUGGGACAUCGUGAAAAAUUACGGAGAUCUAUUUGCUUAAGAAUAGUGAUUGGAACCUCCAGUCAAUUGUCAUUUUGGCUCGCUAGUUGAAUAGUUGAUGUGGUGCUUUUCAUCUGUUAGUUUGUUCCCCCGGUCCUUAAAUUUCAUCCCUCUUCACAUUAUAUUCUUCUCAGUUCAGUCUAGGUCAAGUUUAUGAAACUGAUCAGUAGUCUAGCUAUUAUUCCUCAAGAAGUUUGUGAUGAAAUACCGAAAGCGUAUACUGGGUCCUGUUAUCCGGAGUAUGUACUUGUUUUUUCCCUUCUGUAGCCAAGAUUUUUCUGACAUUUUUGAAGCAAAUUGCUCAUUAUAAUGCAUCUUCCAGUUCAUUGAUUUUGCAUUA
Populus trichocarpa (black cottonwood) is the source of this 4329-nucleotide RNA transcript. It is a transcript of the gene named cyclin-dependent kinase G-2, with no coding region annotated. The record is from RefSeq and is a predicted model, not a curated record. The transcript is spliced from 8 exons. Lineage: Eukaryota; Viridiplantae; Streptophyta; Magnoliopsida; Malpighiales; Salicaceae.